RNAcentral lists this ribosomal RNA (468 nucleotides) under uncultured bacterium. RNAcentral's name for it is "partial 16S ribosomal RNA". It matches the Rfam family "Bacterial small subunit ribosomal RNA", at positions 28 to 507 of the family's 1533-position model. The record is from RNAcentral.
GACGAACGCUGGCGGCGUGCUUAACACAUGCAAGUCGAACGGAAAGGCCCGGCUUUUGUUGGUUGCUCGAUUGGCGAACGGGGGAGUAACACGUGAGUAACCUGCCCUUGACUUUGUGAUAACUUCAGGAAACUGGGGCUAAUACCGGAUAUGAUCUCUUGCUGCAUGUUGGUGGUUGGAAAGUUUCGGCGGUGGGGUAUCGACUCGCUGCUUAUCAGCUUGUUGGUGGGGUAGUUGCUUACCAAGGCUUUGACGGGUAUCCGGCCUGAGAGGGUGACCGGGCACAUUGGGACUGAGAGACGGACCAGACUCCUACGGGAGGCAGCAGUGGGGAGUAUUACACAAUGGGGGGAAGCCUGAUAUAGAAAUGCCGCGUGCGGGAUGACGGGCUUCGGGUUGUGAACAGAUUUGGACUGAGACGAAGAGUGAGUGACGGUAAUGGGUCAAGAAGCAACGGCUAACUACGUG